This 408-nucleotide ribosomal RNA is filed under the name uncultured bacterium. RNAcentral describes it as "bacterial SSU rRNA". It matches the Rfam family "Bacterial small subunit ribosomal RNA", at positions 505 to 916 of the family's 1533-position model. The record is from RNAcentral.
GUGUCAGCCGCCGCGGUAAUACGGAGGGUGCAAGCGUUAUCCGGAUUCAUUGGGUUUAAAGGGUGCGCAGGCGGAUACUUAAGUCAGUGGUGAAAUCCCGGGGCUCAACCCCGGAACUGCCAUUGAUACUGAAUAUCUGGAAUACGGUUGAAGUGGGCGGAAUGUAGCAUGUAGCGGUGAAAUGCAUAGAGAUGCUACAGAACACCGAUCGCGAAGGCAGCUCACUAAGCCGAUAUUGACGCUCAGGCACGAAAGCGUGGGGAGCGAACAGGAUUAGAUACCCUGGUAGUCCACGCCGUAAACGAUGAUAACUCGUUGUUGGCGACACACAGUCAGCGACUAAGCGAAAGCGAUAAGUUAUCCACCUGGGGAUACGAUCGCAAGGUUGAAACUUAAAGGAAUUGGCGG